UACGAAGGGUGCGAGCGUUGUUCGGAAUGAUUGGGCGUAAAGGGUUCGUAGGCGGGGUAAAGAGUCGUGUAUCAAAAGUCCGAGCUAAACUUGGGGAAGGUGCAUGAGACAUUUACUCUUGAGCGUGAGAGAGGGUGGCGGAAUUGCUGGUGUAGGAGUGACAUCCGUAGAGAUCAGCAGGAACGCCGGAGGCGAAAGCGGCCACCUGGAUCAGAGCUGACGCUGAGGAACGAAAGCAUGGGGAGCAAACAGG
RNAcentral lists this ribosomal RNA (253 nucleotides) under uncultured bacterium. RNAcentral's name for it is "partial 16S ribosomal RNA". It matches the Rfam family "Bacterial small subunit ribosomal RNA", at positions 524 to 776 of the family's 1533-position model. The record is from RNAcentral.